UGAGCAAGGGAGAAGACAUGG
Molecule: microRNA, 21 nt
Filed under: Brachypodium distachyon (stiff brome)
Lineage: Eukaryota; Viridiplantae; Streptophyta; Magnoliopsida; Poales; Poaceae
Description: bdi-miR7753-3p
Source: miRBase by way of RNAcentral